This 68-nucleotide transfer RNA is filed under the name Pseudothemis zonata. RNAcentral describes it as "tRNA-Trp". It matches the Rfam family "tRNA". Rfam says of the family: Transfer RNA (tRNA) molecules are approximately 80 nucleotides in length. Their secondary structure includes four short double-helical elements and three loops (D, anti-codon, and T loops). Further hydrogen bonds mediate the characteristic L-shaped molecular structure. tRNAs have two regions of fundamental functional importance: the anti-codon, which is responsible for specific mRNA codon recognition, and the 3' end, to which the tRNAs corresponding amino acid is attached (by aminoacyl-tRNA synthetases). tRNAs cope with the degeneracy of the genetic code in two manners: having more than one tRNA (with a specific anti-codon) for a particular amino acid; and 'wobble' base-pairing, i.e. permitting non-standard base-pairing at the 3rd anti-codon position. Lineage: Eukaryota; Metazoa; Arthropoda; Insecta; Odonata; Libellulidae. The record is from RNAcentral.
AAGACUUUAUGUUAAAAAACAUUUAACCUUCAAAGUUAAAAUUAUAAGUGCAAAUCUUGUAAGUCUUA